UACGUAGGGCGCAAGCGUUGAUCGGAAUCACUGGGCGUAAAGGGUGCGUAGGCGGUGCUAUAAGACGGGUGUGAAAUCCCGGAGCUCAACCUGGAAACUGCAUUUGAGACUGUGGUGCUGGAGGACGGGAGAGGAGGAUGGAAUUCAGGGUGUAGCAGUGAAAUGCGUAGAUAUGAGGAGGAACACCGAUGGCGAAGGCAAUUCCCUGGGCCUGUACUGACGCUGAUGCACGAAAGCGUGGGGAGCAAACAGG
RNAcentral lists this ribosomal RNA (253 nucleotides) under uncultured bacterium. RNAcentral's name for it is "partial 16S ribosomal RNA". It matches the Rfam family "Bacterial small subunit ribosomal RNA", at positions 524 to 776 of the family's 1533-position model. The record is from RNAcentral.